RNAcentral lists this ribosomal RNA (254 nucleotides) under uncultured bacterium. Its description in RNAcentral is "partial 16S ribosomal RNA". It matches the Rfam family "Bacterial small subunit ribosomal RNA", at positions 524 to 776 of the family's 1533-position model. The record is from RNAcentral.
CACGUAGGGGGCAAGCGUUGUCCGGAUUUAUUGGGCGUAAAGAGCUCGUAGGCGGCUUAGUAAGUCGGGUGUGAAACCUCCAGGCUCAACCUGGAGACGCCACCCGAUACUGCUGUGGCUAGAGUCCGGUAGGGGAGCGUGGAAUUCCUGGUGUAGCGGUGAAAUGCGCAGAUAUCAGGAGGAACACCGGUGGCGAAGGCGGCAUCCUGGACCAACACUGACGCUGAGGAGCGAAAGCCAGGGGAGCAAACGGG